GUGCUUGCUUUGACAGCAUGUAUACUAAAAUUGGAAUAAUGCAGAGAAGAUCAGCAUGGCCUCCGUGCAAGGAUGACAUGCAAAUUCGUGAAGCAUUCCAUUUUUAA
RNAcentral lists this small nuclear RNA (107 nucleotides) under Microcebus murinus (gray mouse lemur). Lineage: Eukaryota; Metazoa; Chordata; Mammalia; Primates; Cheirogaleidae. The record is from RNAcentral.